UCCUCAAGCCGGCACCUUUUACAUCAGCUUCCAGAACAACCUUGAGUCCUGCUCUGUGAUUCCAGAUCCCUGCUUGGAUUUACUUUGGGCAACGUGGUUGGAAUGUAUCUGGCCCAGAACUACGACAUGCCAAACCUGGCUAAAAAACUUGAAGAGAUUAAAAAGGACCUGGAAGCCAAGAAGAAGCCCCCUAGUUCCUGAUGCCCACCUGGCACUGUAUUCUGGACCCACCAAUUCCGUCCCGGGGCCUGCCUUCUUCACAGCCACAUCCAAAGCUGUGUUCCUCUUU
Molecule: long non-coding RNA, 289 nt
Filed under: Rattus norvegicus (Norway rat)
Lineage: Eukaryota; Metazoa; Chordata; Mammalia; Rodentia; Muridae
Description: long non-coding RNA NONRATT020361
Source: RNAcentral